AAAUACUAUUAUUGGUAGGUAUAGUCGGGUCAAAACCCUAGAUAUUAUAUUAGCGUCAUCGCUCGCCCUUAUAGAACCUGCUGUCGCUUAUCUGCAAAUCUUUAAGAUUCAACCCUCAAGAAUUUCGUCUGUGAGCUUCUUCCUUUUCUUUAAAGCCUAUCAUCAAAUUCAGAAUGGCUGGUCAGCGAAGCAACUAUGGCAAGCGAUCUCAUUCUCAGUCUGACUACUCCGAAAGUGGGGGAAACAAAAGAAGAAAUUCCGGAAAUGAUAAAGACCCAUUCUCUAUUGGGCCCGAUGAUACUGCGUACCGUUACCUGUGCCCAGGAAAGAAGAUUGGAAGUAUUAUUGGAAGAGGAGGGGAGAUUGUCAAGCAACUACGAGUAGAAACAAAAGCAAAGAUCAGAAUUGGUGAGUCUGUGCCAGGAUGUGAAGAAAGAGUUGUCACUAUAUACAGUUCUAGCGAGGAAACAAAUGAUUUUGAAGGAGCGGAUGGCCGUGUAUGUCCUGCUCAAGAUGCCCUUUUUAAGGUGCAUGAGAGAAUUGUUGCUGAUGAUGCUGCAGUAGAGGAGGACUCAGAAGACGUCCCACAAGUCACUGUUCGACUUCUAGUACCAUCUGAUCAGAUUGGGUGUAUCAUUGGAAAGGGUGGACAGAUAGUUCAAAACAUUCGCAGUGAUACUGGGGCACAGAUUCGCAUUGUAAAGGAUGAUCAUUUGCCAACGUGUGCGUUGAGUUCAGAUGAACUCGUACAGAUAUCUGGUGAUGCUUCUGUGGUGAAGAAAGCUCUUUAUCAGAUUGCAUCCCGACUUCAUGACAAUCCAUCUCGAUCUCAGCACCUGCUUUCUUCUUCUGUUCCUACUGUCUUCAGUUCUGGUAGUUCGGUUUUAGGGGCGGCUGCUGGUGCUCCUAUAAUGGGAUUAACUCCACUGAUAGGGCCCUAUGGAGGGUACAAGGGUGAGAGUGCGGACUGGCCUCGGUCUCUGUACUCAGCUCCAAGGGGUGACACAUCUUCAAAAGAUUUUUCACUUCGUUUGGUUUGCCCGACCGCUAAUAUUGGAGGUGUCAUCGGCAAGGGUGGCAUGAUAAUUAAUCAAAUACGACAAGAUUCUGGGGCAGUUAUUAAAGUUGAUAGUUCAGCUGCUGAGGGAGAUGAUUGUGUGAUAUCUAUCUCUGCAAAAGAGGUUUUUGAAGAUUCAUUUUCUCCAGCAAUAGACGCUGCUCUGCGCUUGCAGCCCAGGUGCAGCGAGAAAGUUGAAAGAGACUCUGGUCUUGUUUCAUUCACCACACGACUACUUGUUCCUACUUCUCGAAUUGGCUGUCUUAUUGGGAAAGGAGGGUCCAUAAUUUCAGAGAUGAGGAAAGUCACAAAGGCCAAUAUCCGCAUACUCUCCAAAGAAAAUCUGCCUAAAGUUGCCUCUGAAGAUGAUGAGAUGGUGCAGAUUUCUGGAGACCUUGAUGUUGCUAAAGACGCUCUUAUACAAGUAACUUCACGCUUGAGGGCCAAUCUCUUUGAAAAGGAAGGUGCUGUUUCUACUUUUCUGCCUGUUCUCCCAUAUCUUCCUAUGUCAACAGAUGGUGGAGAAAACUUGAAGUAUGAAAGUAGAGAUACUAAGAGCCGUGGACGUGGGUAUUCUUACUCUGGUGGAUAUGGUGGUUCUACUGAUUUGCCUCCUGUGGAUCCCUAUGGUAGCUAUGGUGGUGUUCAGAGUGGUAGUGGCAGCUCUGCUUAUGGUGCUUAUGGGAGUUAUUCAUCUAGUCGUUCUGUUGGUUCUGGGUUAUCUGGGCGAAACCCUGUUUCACGUGGGAGAACCUAUGACUACUAAAGGAGGUUAUUAAAAUUGCAGUGAAUCUUUAUGGUAAUGCUUGUUUUGAUCAAUAUUAUUCUCAAGAUGUAAAUGCCAGAAGAGGUAAAAUAUGCUGUGGGUGAAGGAUCUCAGUGAUAGUGACCAAAGCAGAAGGGAACCAGUAAUUAUCAAUGGUGUGCUUGAUUGGAAGAACAGUAUGGAUGUCGCUCGGUCUGGUGGUUUAAUGGAUUAUGGCUGGCUGUGCAGGAACCAGGUAAUUUCACCUUAAAUUUUAGUAUCAAUUUUUUGUGUGCUUUUCGCAGGUGUCCUUGCGGAAUACAGUUUUCUAGGUAUGAUGUGUGCUAUAACAACGGUGCAAAUCCAUAAUAUUCGCAGCACUCUCAUAGGUCUGCUAUCCUCAUGUCUAAAAGCCAUGUCUCUAGUAUUUUUAUGCUUUUGGUUUCUUAUUAUAUUUUAUGCAUCCAGGUGCUUUUUUCUAUGUGAGUGUGCCUGUUAGUUGGGAUGCUUUGCAAGUUUGCAUGCACACACCUCCACUUUUUAGAAAUAUAAUUGUUCAAUCUUUAAGGCGGUGCCUUCUUGUAUCCUCUAGCUAGAUUGUUAUUGGGGUUGGGGAGUCAUCAUCUGGAUGAUGGAAAUUGUGUUUUCCAUUUGAUUUAGCAUGCUAUGUUAAUGCCCAUAUGUUCGUCUUGGACUCCAUACUCCAUAUGGAUUCAUAUCUUUGAGGAAAGAAGUUGCCAACGAAGUUGGAGCAUGGAAACAGUUCAGAACCUCUUAAGUUCAAAUAGGGUUUUACUAGCACAGGGCAGUUUCAGGUGGGAUUUGAUAGGAAAUUUUAAGAACAAAAAGGCCACAUGAAUAUUGGAAUAAGCAUUUGGUAAUAUUAUUUUGCCCCUGGUUUUCCGUGGCUCUGGGUACAA
Molecule: non-coding RNA, 2722 nt
Organism: Sesamum indicum (sesame)
Lineage: Eukaryota; Viridiplantae; Streptophyta; Magnoliopsida; Lamiales; Pedaliaceae
Source: RefSeq, a predicted model, not a curated record